CAGCAGCCACGGUAAUACAGAGGGUGCGAGCGUUAAUCGGAUUUACUGGGCGUAAAGCGUGCGUAGGCGGCUUCUUAAGUCGGAUGUGAAAUCCCUGAGCUUAACUUAGGAAUUGCAUUCGAUACUGGGAAGCUAGAGUAUGGGAGAGGAUGGUAGAAUUCCAGGUGUAGCGGUGAAAUGCGUAGAGAUCUGGAGGAAUACCGAUGGCGAAGGCAGCCAUCUGGCCUAAUACUGACGCUGAGGUACGAAAGCAUGGGUAGCAAACAGGAUUAGAUACCCGAGUAGUCCCUGUCUCUUAUAC
Molecule: ribosomal RNA, 301 nt
Filed under: uncultured bacterium
Lineage: Bacteria
Description: partial 16S ribosomal RNA
Rfam family: Bacterial small subunit ribosomal RNA
Source: RNAcentral